This 82-nucleotide small nucleolar RNA is filed under the name Rhinopithecus roxellana (golden snub-nosed monkey). RNAcentral describes it as "Small nucleolar RNA SNORD115 (ENSRROG00000024292.1)". It matches the Rfam family "Small nucleolar RNA SNORD115". Rfam says of the family: HBII-52 is a member of the C/D class of snoRNAs, which contain the C (UGAUGA) and D (CUGA) box motifs. HBII-52 is encoded in a tandemly repeated array with another C/D snoRNA, HBII-85, in the Prader-Willi syndrome (PWS) region of chromosome 15. Lineage: Eukaryota; Metazoa; Chordata; Mammalia; Primates; Cercopithecidae. The record is from Rfam by way of RNAcentral.
GGGUCGAUGAUGAGAACCUUAUAUUGUCCUGAAGAGAGGUGAUGACUUAAAAAUCAUGCUUAAUAGGAUUAUGCUGAGGCCC